GCAGACAUAAAUUGCAGCACUGGAGUGGUUGGCUUUGAUGAUUUUGAGCCAUUGACUUCUGUUCAUGUCAAUUCCACAGAUGAUCAGUUUCUUGCCAGUGGGUACUCAAAGGAUGUUGCUCUGUAUGACAUUAGUAGUAGAAGACGCAUACAGCUGUUUACUAAUAUGCAUCGAGAACCCAUUAAUGUUGCUAAAUUUGCUCACUAUUCUCCCUUCAUAUUUGCUACUUCGUCAUUUGACCAUGAUGUCAAGCUCUGGGAUUUGAGGCAAAAACCAGAGUGGCCCUGCUG
Molecule: unclassified non-coding RNA, 290 nt
Filed under: Hevea brasiliensis (rubber tree)
Lineage: Eukaryota; Viridiplantae; Streptophyta; Magnoliopsida; Malpighiales; Euphorbiaceae
Source: RNAcentral